CCUGGAACAAACAAUGGGUCGUGGGAAGCGUUUCCCGGCAAUGGGGAAACUCAGGUGACCUCUGCUUGGCAGAAUCCUGCAGCUGAGAUCGGCAAGGCUGAUUGGGAGUUGGCUUUGGUGGAGACAGCUAGUCACCUGUCUAAUCAGAAAGCCGCAUUGGGCGGUUAAACAAUGGGUCGUGGGAAGCGUUCCCCGGCAAUGGGGAAACUCAGGUGACCUCUGCUUGGCAGAAUCCUGCGGCUGAGGUAGGUAAGGCUGAUUGGGAAUUGGCUUUGGUGGAGACAGCUAGUCACCUGUCUAAUCAGAAGGCCGCAUUGGGUGGUGGACUUGAUCCACUACUGUUGAAUGGCAUGUAUGAUCAAGGGAUAAUUAGGCAGCAUGUUUCCACUGCCCAGUUGAGUGGAGGUAGUGCCAGCAGUGUGGCAUUACCCG
RNAcentral lists this long non-coding RNA (432 nucleotides) under Nicotiana benthamiana. Its description in RNAcentral is "long non-coding RNA (NBEN_LNC004501)". Lineage: Eukaryota; Viridiplantae; Streptophyta; Magnoliopsida; Solanales; Solanaceae. The record is from RNAcentral.